Molecule: non-coding RNA, 8693 nt
Organism: Podarcis lilfordi (Lilford's wall lizard)
Lineage: Eukaryota; Metazoa; Chordata; Lepidosauria; Squamata; Lacertidae
Source: the annotation of a GenBank genome assembly
CCUCACCUCUGAUGAAGAAGGAAGUGAAGCUUCUUUCUUCAUUCUCUUCCACCAUAUGAAACCACUCAGGCAACACGCCUGGGCUUGACUGCUUCAAACCCAGACUGUGUGGUCAAAAAUAUUUUUCUGUAUUUUGUAAACUCAAUAUUUCUACCUGUUUUCUUCUUGCUGCUACAUGGAAUAAUGCAUCAAUCGGACCUUUGAAGUUUGUAAGUACAGCAAAGCAUUUAAAGUUACUAAAUGGUGUGGUCUAUUCAUUGCAGGAGGGAUAGAAGGGAAGUGGUGUAAGUAGACUGGAAUGGGAUAUUUGAAAAGUCUAACAGCCUAUUAUUCUCAUACUUCUAUGGACCCUCUCUUGCUGCAGAGUGUGUUUAGCCCCAAGCUUUGGAUCUAGGGAUCCAGCCAAUUCUUUUAUUAAUUAACCCACAUGGGUGAUCUAUAUCUGUUUUUCUCCCCACACUCCGUUCAUCGACUCUUAUAACUGUAUUGUAAAUCUAAGACCUGCCCAAUGGUGUUGCAUUUCUGGGAUUGUGAUACUUCAGAACCCAGGAAUGUAUAUUUGGAAUGUUCUCUCAUGUUUAAAAAACAACAGCAAACCCAGUCCUUCACACAUAUGAACAAUUAGCAUGGGGGAAGGCUAACCUACAACCCUUAUUCCUGAAAUGUUAGCAUUCUGUGGGCAGGGAAUUUUUACUGUGUGGAGGAACCAAAUGUGCAGAACCCAUUCAUUCUCUGAAAUGGUAUCACCCCAGCAGAAAGGUUGUAUGUACCAUGUGCUCUUUCUGAACAUGUAGCUUGACCUUAAGUCUUGCCUUGCCAGGGAAAAGAAACAGGGGCUUGAUUUUCCACAAAUGCAUCUCUUUGAUUUUGAAAUUAUAUGUAUUAUAUUUGCUUUACUUUUAUCAUGGGUCAAACAAUGGAGACUUGUGGGCUAAUAGGAAGAGGCCAAGAAAUCAAAUCCCCCUUUUUGAUAUUAACAAAUGAUGGCAGGCAAGCAGGAUCUUUGAGCAGCAGUCUCCUGGUAUCAACAAGGUCUUGCUCCUUGCAUCUGUACUGUUUUGUCUGUUUCAUUAUACCUUGAAUUGUGCAGGGGAAGGAAGCAGGGGUAAGGGGAUGAAAGCUGUAAGGUGGAUCUUAACAUGAACCUGGGCUUCUCUUUCUCCUAAAACCCAUCCAUGUUGCAACUCAAUCCUAGAAACAUGAUAACUUUCUACAGACCAGAGUGUCUCUAAGUAUGUUCUGUCUUUCUUUCAUUGUGGUCAACCAUAUGACCAAUUUGCCUACUGUACUUAGGGGAGAUGCAUCUAACCCAGGGCUGACUAAGCUGUGGCCCUCUAGAUGUCGUUGGACUACAACUCCCAUCAUCCUUGACCCCGGCUAUGCUGGGUGGGGCUAAUGGAGUCUGACACCUGUUCUAGCCCCAGGAGAGAGAGAGAGAGAGAGAGAGAGAGAGAGAGAGAGAGAGUUUGUGUGAAUGAAUCAGGACUGAACCCCAUCACCCCCUUUAGAAAUUAAAUAGUGCUGUGCGGUAGGAAAGGUGAUUGGGCUGUUUAAAAACUGUGCAGCACAUUCUCUCCUUGCUGUGCAAUCAGGAGGUAUCUUGUUCAAGCCCUGAGGUGCCUACAAUUCACAGCAAACCAAUUCAGCCAAGUGCCAGAAUUUCAGAUUUGCAGCGCAGACCAUGCCAGGUUCCUACAUGUCCCUCUGCAACACUUGGGCCUUCUGACCACAAACAUCCUUUAGUUCGCUUGUAGAGCUGGGAGGGAUUAAAGGAGAUAAGAAUGUAAGAACUGCUGUGCUGGAGAAAUCAAAAGCUCCAUCUAACCCAGCACGCGGUCCCCAGCAGUGGCCAGUCACGAGCCAAUGAGAAGUUCACAAGAGAAGCCUGAUGGAGAAAACCACUCUCUUUCCCACCCCCAUUUAUCCUGAGCAUCUGUUCAUCAGAAGUAUUCAGCCUCUGAGCCUGGACAGUCUAUUCUUAGCUAUUAUGGCUAAUAGCUAUUACUAGACAUAUCCUACAUGAAUCUGUCCAAUCCUUUUAAAAGCCAUCUGUGCUUAUGGCAAUGAAUGCUGCAACUUUGUUGUGUGUUGCGUGGGUGGGGGGGAAAUAUUGCCUUUUGUUUGUCCUGUACCUGCUGCCAAUCCAUAUCACUGGAAGGCUUUGAGUUUUAGCACUUUAAGAGAGACUUUCACUUUUGAGGACGGAGUGGCCAGACUCUAAAUGAGGCCGCACCACAGACUUACAUAAUCACACCUAAUACUUGCCUCUUUAUUUUGAGUUCCUUCCCUAAUCUUUCAUACUGAAAUGGAUUUGCCUUUUGAACUGCUGCAGCGUCCAGAGCUAAUGUUCCUGGUAAGAUUUUUACAGUGGCCACCUCUGCUCCCACACUGCCUCUGCUCUGCUUGAAUAUUUAUGCCACCAGGGGUGCAUUCAGACAUGGGGAAUAUUAUGUUAGUCUUCCUGAUUUUAAUGCCAGUGGUUCUGUCCUGUUCCUUUCACACUGCCCGUACCUGUUGCAUUAUGGGGCUGUGGCUUUCUGACCAACAUAUUGGCAUGUCACACUAAAUUUAAUUCACACCAAAGGACAUCGUUGGACAACAUCCUUACUCCCUCACCCUUUCCACUUCUGUUUCCCCAUGAUUCACCCAUGAAAACAGAAUCAUAUGCUGGUAUACCACAUCAUAUUUCAUUAAUUCACUUCUGAAAUUUUCUGGGUGGAUAGGGUUGCAAGCAGAUUAUUUCUGGAAACAAUUAACACGGAAUGAGUGCUAAGCUUCAACUAUAUUCCACUAUAUUUCCAGCUUUUACAUUGUGUGAAAGCAAAAAUAUAAUACAGAAAUUAUCAGUUAGUAAAACAGAAUAAAUUACCAUGCGAAUGCAGCUGAAGGAUCUUUAAAUGUAUGGUGUGGACAUUGGCAAAUUGGGUGAGGUUUUGCAGGACCCAGGUAAAAGUUGCACAGUUCAGCUUUCUGGGAAUUUAUCAUUCUUUAAAUCAGAGGCUCUGCACACACCAGGCACAUUCAAAGCACACACAGCCAAGAAUUCUGGGAACAGCACUUUACAGACUUACAAUUCCCAGAAUCCUUAGGAAGCUGCAAUUCCCUGGAUUCAUGGCAGGAGGGGAGCUUGAAUGUCCUUUCCAAGUAUGGUGUAUAUGUGGCCAAAGAGGGGCCGAAUAAGAUUUCAGAGGGUUGGGGGGGGGCAUUUCAAUGCUCUGAAAAGCUCCUUCUGUAACAAGCAGACACAGAUCAAAUUUCUAAACCAUGUGAGCUGUUGUGCAAAUUUGCGUAAUUGCAAGAAUUAGCUUUGUUGUUCCCAUAUUUGGACUACCUUGUUGCAAAACAAUGAUUUAUUUAAAAAUCCACCAUAUUGUAUAUUUACAAGGAUUUGCAAUGGUUUAAAGCAGCAACUUCAGCACCCCUGCAUCCUGCACAAGACUUAGCACAUAUUCUGCAAGUAUGAAUGCUAACUAGGCACAUGGGAAACCUAAUGAAGAAUGCUAUUCUGCAGGUCCCUUUGCUUAUUCUGAGUGGCGGGCUUCAACAGGAAAAUCCAGUUACCAUUCUGAAGUUGCACAAGGUUUGGCUUGCAUGUCAGCUUAUUAAUUAUCAAUUUCUCACUGUCAAAUGACCCCCUUUCACACAUGUGCGUUUUGUUCGCAGUUGCAGCACAUAAUGGGUUUUGCUGUUCUGAGGCAGCGUAAGCAGUCAGCUGUCCUCAGACGUGUGGGUUUUGGUGAUGACAAGAUCACCCUGUGAGAAGAAACAGGAGAGGAAGGCAGGCAAAAAGUACCUCCUGCUUCAGUGGAACUGUCCUGUUCCUGUGGGAAAGAGCAGGAGAGUGAGGGAGGCAAGUGAAGACAAAAGAGCCAGCAGAGGGGUAAUCACAGUCUGCUCUCGCUUCAGCUGACUGUCUCCUUUCCCCACAAGACCAUCUCCCAGCAACUGCUCUGUGCAAAGGAAUAUCAGAUGUGGGCUUCUGCUUCAGUGGAACUAGUUGUUUUUUAAGGUGUGUGGUUCUUGGUUUAUCCGUUUUAUUUAUUAAAUCUUCCAAGUCUGAGAGUGGGAUAAAAGCCUAUUAAAUAAAUAAACAAACAAAUAUAGAUUUACACAAUAAAGCAUUAAAACAUCAUGGGAUCGGUUGGUUUGGCUCCUGGACAGGCAUAUAUAGCUUUCACAAGAAUGUAGAUGGUUAGGCACAAGAGAGCUGGAAUAUCACGAGUUCCCUGCAGAUGUCUUAGGAAUACAUAAUUCAUGUUCAUGUAAGUGUGAUUCAUUGAAAGCACUGUGGAAUUGAGGCAUGAAUACCAGAAUUUUUGGAUCAGCAUUCAGAAGUGAAGAGUUUCAGUAUUCAACCAGGCAGGUGUGAGGGUGGAAGGUUCUGAAUUAUGGGAACAAACUAAAAGAAGUAAUAGGAAGAGAGCAGUCUUGACAUGAAAUUGCAAUGGCUUUUGACCAAUGUAUAGUUGAACAAUGGGGUUAGGGAACAAAGUUGCCCAGCAUCUCUUUCCAACCACUGAGACAAGUCCCAAUAAACAUUAUACCCAAAAUGGGACUUUUGAGAAACACGAAGAAAGCAUCAGCAUGUUUGGAAGAACCCCAAAGUUUGCAGAAGCAGAAAAAUACUAAAGAGACAAAAAUCCCACCCCUUCUCCAAACAGCCCAAUACAAACUGAGUAUUCUCAGUAUCCAUGGAAGGACUGUUGGCAUAUCAUAAAAAAGAAAACCACUGGGGAAAUGGAAUGGAAUACCCUGAAAGAAGGUGUGACUAGCUGGCUGGCUUGAACACCCAAAAAAACUCCAUACUGCAACCAUUUGUUCGAGGUCCCAUUAGUAAUUGUUCCUAUAUUGCAGAUGGAGGCUGAGAGAACAGCAACUUGAACAAGGUCACUUCCUGUUGGUAGGAUCCACACUAGCUGAUUUCAGUGGGAUCACAGCAUGUCUAACACAACCCAACUUCAGGUAUUCAGAAUAAGAAGUAGGUAUACCUGUAAUGGUGGCCUGUGGGGAUGAGCAUAGCUAGCUUUGCUCCCUCUUUGCCAUUCCUGUAGCCCUCCAUUAAUUGUAGGGUGAACUUGUGAAUUGUAUUCCUGGAGGCUCCCUAACCAUUUUAGAACCCUAGAAAAUCAGGAUUCUAAAAUGUGCAUAAGUACAGGAUGCACCUUCUAAACUCACGGAGUGGGAAGGAUAUGGUGACUGGGGUGGUGUGGGAGCUAUUGAACUUGUCCCCCCAAGGUUACCCUUCCCCUUGCAUAUUUAACUCCAAUUCAAAACAACUGAAGGUUGUUGUUGUUUUAAGGGAUUCAACCCUAUGUGAGAUUCAAACCAGAUACUUUCUAGCUAUCAGAUCACAGCCCUUAUAGGCUCCUCCAGACAACCUCUUUAUUGAGCAUUCAUCCUGAUUUGCUUGUACAAAGCUUACAUGAAAGUUAGACUAUGUCCAGUCUUUAUUGAGCAUUUGUUCUGAUUUAUUUGUGGGUGGUUAUACAACAAUGAGCAUUCUUCCUGAUUGGCUUGUGUGGUGGCUAUACAUCUUCCUAUUAAUCAUUCAUUGAUCUCACCUUUUUCAAUACCCUAUCCCCUAUCACUUUCCUAACCAUGAAAAGUCAGUUUUGUGUAUGUAUAAUGUGGAUUUGUUGUUCAAGGGCAACAGAGCACUUUAAUCCACUUUAACUGCACAAAGCCAAAUUUACAGAAUGCCCAUCAAUUUCUCCUGCAAAUAUUGACAGUCUGCAUGCAACCUAUUGACAGCUGUCAGGCAUGUCUUCUGAGGAUAAUAUUGAGCUAGACCUGAGCAUAGCUGAACCUUCUUCCUUGACAUGCUCUUCAACCUCAUAACUGAGCAGGGAUCCCUUCAAUCAAAAUCCAGACCCUCCCUGUCCGCUUCCUCAAUCUAAAGCACUGAGCCCCUUGGGUUUGCUGAUUGGAAGGUCAGUGGUUCGAAUCUGUGUGACGGGGUGAGCUCCUGUUGCUCUCUCCCAGCUUCUGCCAACCUAGCAAUUCAAAAGCACACCAGUGCAAGUAGAUAAUAGGUACUGCUGCAGUGGGAAGAUAAAUGGUGUUUCCAUGUGCUCUGGCUUCUGUCAUGGUAUUCUGUUGUGCCAGAAUGUUUAGUCAUGCUGGCCACAUGACCCAGACAAACAGCAGCUCCCUUGGCCUGAAGUGAGAUGAGCGCCACACCCCAUAGUCGCUUUUGACUGGACUUAACUGUCCAGGGGUCCUUUACCUUUACCUUAACCUCUCCUUAGUUUUAGUGUAGAACUCAUUGGCUCUGGCUCCACCUACUGUUAGCCCCCUAUCUUACACCCUUCGAGCCGCUACUGCUGCCUCUCCCCCACAAGGGAGUUUUGAUGCUAAGUGGCGUACUGAACUCCCAUCCUCUAAAAGCACAAGACAAACAUUGUACCAUAUCAGGCCAGGCCCCUUAUGCCUUCAAGCCUUUCCUUCAAUUUGUUGCAAAAUUAAAGAAGUGCCAAAACUAACAUUCCCAACCUUGUAGAAUUGUGGACACAAAAAGUCCAUUAAUCCUGAAGUACUCCAAAAGACAUUAUUUUUAGAAAAUCAUUUUCUUUUCUUUUCUUUUUUUUGUUCCCUUCAUUCCCAGCAGGCAGUGAGAGGAAAGUCUUGUUCAGGCUGAUAGCUUGUGUCAGCUGUAGUGACUCAGGAAGGCACGGAUGUCUGCUAAAUGCUGCAGGGCUUGGGGUUUGCUCCAAGCAGAGGCAGGGACUGUGCAAUGCAGGAGGUGAAUAAAUAAUUCAGGGCUUAAGAAAACAGGAUUUGCCAUGUUCCUCCAGACCAAAGAGCCAUCUAAGCUCAGCAGUCCAUCUCUGACACUGGCAAGCCAGGUACCUGAGGCUGAGCAAAGUAAACAAGCAAGGCUUGAUGGAUGGUGAGAUCUAUCCCUUGUUAGCAGCAUCUGGUAGUCAGAGGCCUCAGAACAUGGUGGUUUUGACUCUGUAUGGCUUCCUGGGAGACCUUCUGCAGGCCACAUGCAAAUGGUGAGUGGAACUACAGGGGGAAGUAGACAGGACAAUGAAUGUGAAGUUUACUUGUGUACAGUAAGCUGGAUUUGCUCACCUCUCUAGCCUCCAUCCAGACAAACAAGAAGCACUGUUAGAGUUCAAGGGCACAUCCCAACAAGGUAAAAAGUUCAAAGAGGGUGCAAAGCAGGGUCAGUGAGGGGUAUGGUCUGGAAAAAAAAUCCAAAGGGCCAGACAGAGAGGCCUGAAGGGCCACAUUUGCACACACACCCAAACUGAGGUUCCUCACCCCUGCUAAAAUGGAGCUUUUUCUAACCAUUUCCUCUAAGGGUUGCUAAUGGAAAGGGUGAUUUGGAGGGUCUCUACAACCUCUUCCCUUGCUGUUCCUUAGUCACUCAUUAAAGAGAGAGAGAACUCCAUUUGGGGCAAAGAUGUAGCUCAGUGGUAGAGUUCAAUUCCCGGCAUCUCCAAGGCAAGGCGGAGAAAGCAGGUCCUCUGCCUGAAAUCCUGAAGCGUCCCACCCAUUAAUGUGCAGACAAGAUUGAGCUAGAUGAGCCCAACAGUCUGAACUGGUAUUAUGCAGCUUCCUGUGCUCCUAUUCAUUUGCCAGUUCUCUCAGGAUGGUGUGGGGAGGCACACUGCACAGGUUCAGAGGCACUCUCAUUUUUAAAAGUUGGCAGGCCUAUUGCUAUCUUGGAGUGAAUAAAUAGGAGCCGUUUGCAGUUGCUGCCCUCUGAGCCUCCCUUCCGUACUGGAUUCUCUAUUCCAAUUUUUCCCUUAAUGUCUUUCAUGAUGGCUUAACUAAUCUUGCAGCCUGCUUUGCUGCACACAGCUUGGAACAAUCGAGCUAAUCGCUUCACUGCUGCACAAGAUAUUUUCCCAAUCUGAUUUCAAAGGAAAUGCUAUUGAUCACUCCUGUCCCGCCAAGACCUCUGGGUGCACUGCUGUACCGGAGAGCUGCUUUGCAUUCUGGAUGGGCUUGUGCUGCACAGAGUCAGCAAGGAGGGAGAAUUAAUCCCACCGUGUGCAGAAAAAGUACUGUGGGUUAGCCUGGGUAAACCACAGAGCCAAAACAGAUCUUAUAUUUGAAGAUAAGUCAUAGCAGGUUGCUUCUUCGCCAGCAUUAGGAGCUCCUGGCUCCCAAUAAUUUACACAACAGAUGUAAACAUAGGGCUAGCUGUCAGUCUUGUUCCUGCCCACCCCUGUGGUUUAGGUAGCCUGUUCCCAUCCCUUUUCCACUCUCCCAGUGCAUUAAGAUACUCAGGUGAGGCUGCAAAAGAGGUGCAUUAUGCAUCCACAAAGGACAGGGUCUUUUCAGUGGUGGUACCCUAAGUUUGAAACACUCUCUUGAAAAAAUAAGUCUGGUGCCAACAUGAUAUACUCUUCAGCUUCAGGUUAAGACAUCUUUAUGUGUGUAGGCUUUCUGAAUUCACCAUAUUGCCUUAGCUGGUUGAAUAUGUUCUUGUUUAUUAUUUCAAAGAUUGUAUUAAUGUUGUUUUGAUUUCCCCCACCACUACACUGUGUUAAUAUUAUGUUAACAUUUUGUUGCUCUUGUGCCUCUUGCAUUUCAGUUCUAAGAUUCUGUGAAUAAACCCUGAAGAAAAGACCUAGCUGGAAGCCUACCCAUGCAGAAGAAGGAAGCCUUAAAUCUACUACUCUGUGACAAAACACUGCAUCCUAAUGUUCUUGUUACAAAUAUGAUUUGAAUGAAGG